GGGGCUGACUUGGAUUUCGACAGAUUUCUUGUCGCACAGAUAGCAUGCCAAGCGCUACUUGUAAAACAGCAACAAAAAUAACUGUAAACAACGCAGAUUACGCUCCAGCUUACGCUAAAGCUGCGUGAGUUAAUCUCCUUUUGGAGCUGGACUGAUUAGAAUUUCUAGCGUUUUAAUCACUCCAUAACCUUAAGCUAGACGCUUUUAAAAGGUGGUUCGCCUUUUAAACUAAGAAACAAGAACUCUUGAAACUAUCUCAAGGUUUUAGAAAGUUGGACCAGAGCUAGUUUUAAGGCUAAAAAGCUAAUCAAUUUUCUAAGCAUUGUAGAAGUUUGUGUUUAGGACAAGAUUUUUGGACUGGGGUUCGAUUCCCCACAGCUCCACCA
This 386-nucleotide transfer-messenger RNA is filed under the name Helicobacter pylori. It matches the Rfam family "transfer-messenger RNA". From Rfam's summary of the family: Bacterial tmRNA, also known as 10Sa RNA or SsrA, is named for its dual tRNA and mRNA-like properties. Its role is to liberate the mRNA from a stalled ribosome. Lineage: Bacteria; Pseudomonadati; Campylobacterota; Epsilonproteobacteria; Campylobacterales; Helicobacteraceae. RNAcentral also lists the same sequence under 1 other name. The record is from RNAcentral.